Sphingomonas sp. WG is the source of this 81-nucleotide regulatory RNA element. It matches the Rfam family "chrB-a RNA". NCBI's taxonomy places the organism in Bacteria, Pseudomonadati, Pseudomonadota, Alphaproteobacteria, Sphingomonadales, Sphingomonadaceae. The record is from Rfam.
GAUAUGGGGAUGGCGAUCUCCCCACGAGGCGUCAGCCAGAGAAUCGCGUCCAGCAAGAACACGCACAAGGGACGCGGCAUG